UACAGAGACGUCGAGCGUUGUUCGGAUUCAUUGGGCGUAAAGGGUGCGUAGGCGGUGAGGUAAGUCGGAUGUGAAAUCCCAGAGCUUAACUCUGGAAGUGCAUCCGAAACUGCCUUGCUCGAGGACUGGAGGGGAGACUGGAAUUCUCGGUGUAGCGGUGAAAUGCGUAGAUAUCGAGAGGAACACCUGUGGCGAAGGCGGGUCUCUGGACAGUUCCUGACGCUGAGGCACGAAAGCUAGGGUAGCAAAC
Molecule: ribosomal RNA, 250 nt
Filed under: uncultured bacterium
Lineage: Bacteria
Description: partial 16S ribosomal RNA
Rfam family: Bacterial small subunit ribosomal RNA
Source: RNAcentral